RNAcentral lists this small RNA (83 nucleotides) under Marmota monax (woodchuck). The record is from RNAcentral. Lineage: Eukaryota; Metazoa; Chordata; Mammalia; Rodentia; Sciuridae.
GCUGGGCAUGGUGGUGCAUGCCUGUAAUCCCAGUGGCUUGGGAGGCUGAAGCAGGAGGAUCAUGAGGUCAAAACCAGCCUCAG